GAUGAACGCUGGCGGCGUGCCUAAUACAUGCAAGUCGAGCGAACAGAUGAGGAGCUUGCUCCUCUGACGUUAGCGACGGACGGGUGAGUAACACGUGGAUAACCUACCUAUAAGACUGGGAUAACUUCGGGAAACCGGAGCUAAUACCGGAUAAUAUAUUGAACCGCAUGGUUCAAUAGUGAAAGACGGUUUUGCUGUCACUUAUAGAUGGAUCCGCGCCGCAUUAGCUAGUUGGUAAGGUAACGGCUUACCAAGGCAACGAUGCGUAGCCGACCUGAGAGGGUGAUCGGCCACACUGGAACUGAGACACGGUCCAGACUCCUACGGGAGGCAGCAGUAGGGAAUCUUCCGCAAUGGGCGAAAGCCUGACGGAGCAACGCCGCGUGAGUGAUGAAGGUCUUCGGAUCGUAAAACUCUGUUAUUAGGGAAGAACAAAUGUGUAAGUAACUAUGCCCGUCUUGACGGUACCUAAUCAGAAAGCCACGGCUAACUACGUG
Molecule: ribosomal RNA, 497 nt
Filed under: uncultured bacterium
Lineage: Bacteria
Description: partial 16S ribosomal RNA
Rfam family: Bacterial small subunit ribosomal RNA
Source: RNAcentral